This is a long non-coding RNA of Podarcis raffonei (Aeolian wall lizard), 1387 nucleotides long. RefSeq lists it as uncharacterized. The transcript has 2 exons. Lineage: Eukaryota; Metazoa; Chordata; Lepidosauria; Squamata; Lacertidae. The record is from RefSeq and is a predicted model, not a curated record.
CUAUUUGUCCCCGUGUCAGUUUCAGUUUGUUGGUUAGCUUUUCAGUAAGGCCAUUUCCCAUACAAGUUGAUACCGUUGGUCCAUGUUUACUCUUGAGGGGUCUUUCCAGUGUCUGGCUAUGAGGCUACUGGCUGCUGAGAGCAGGUGGGUUAUAGGCUCUGUAUAAUGUGAGUGGUCAUUACGAUCUUGGAAGAUGUUCAGUAGAGUCAGUUCUGGGGUGAGUUCUAAUACCUGUUUAGUUAUUUUGCAUAUCUCUUGUAGGACUGCUGUUCAGAAGGGUUGGAUUUUAGGGCACCCCCACCACAUGUGGAGGUAUGUGCCUGUGGAGGUGCAGCCUCUCCAAAAUCUUGGUGAGGUUCCUGGGCAUAUCAGUGCCAGUUUCUGUGGUGUUAAGUACCACCUGUAGGUGAGUUUCAGAGUGAGUUCCCUUAUUUUGACUGAUACAGACUUAAAGGGAGGUUUAGACAAUAUUCUAGUCCAUUGGGUGGGGUUAAUUUCAUAGCCUAUUUCAUGCUCCCAUUGUUCUUUGAUUGCGUCAAGGGGGUUGUAGAAUUUUGGAGCAGUAUUUUGUAUAUUGUGGACACCAUUCCCUUGCCGUGUCCCUCUGUUGUCAGUACAAGGUUUUCGAAGGUGGUCAAGUGCCUAGUGGCUGCUGAUUUUACUGCUGGAUUGUUUAAGAAGGCAUGUAGUUGAUGGCAUGUAGCUAAGGUAUUUGGGUGUCCCCAGCUUGUUUUGUAUUUCUUGUGUUGGUAUGGGCGUGUUGUUUUUGUAGAAGUCUUUUAGACAGUGUAGGCCUUUGGCUUGCCAGGUUUUUAUCUGGAGGUUUUGUGCUGUGUGUCGGAAUAGUCAGAUGGGGAUAGUUUGCCUACUUUGCCCUGUAUGAACCUGUUCAGUGUUGUGGGGAUUUUCUUUCGUUUGUUUUGGAGAAAUGGCUUCUUGCAUAAAAUCCAGAAUGCUGUGGCUCUCUGUGUUUGUGUAUCCUGUUGAGUGGCAAGCCUUUGUUAUCUCUUCUCUUUUUAUCUUGAGGUCAAAACAAUGAUGUUAUACAUCACGGCGGCAGCCCUACCUUCAUUUCCUGAACAUCUUUGCUCAGGGCAGGUGUCAAAAAGAGAAAAUUGUCUUGCAGCUGUCUAUUAUAGAAUGAGUGCUCUGAAGAGUAUUUAUUUAUACCAUCUAUGCUAAGAAAUUGUGAUGUGGAAGAGAAACAGCAGCUUUUCUUCUUCUUUACUCUGUCCUAAACUUGAGCUGCAUGUUAGCAAACUGUCACCAUGAAUUUGUUCUCUGCUUCAUUCCAAAGUCUGAGAAAUAAGAGCAGCUAUUAGUGGAAACUACCAUAUUUUUCCGUGUAUAACAUGCCCCCAGGUAUAAGACGACGCCUUUUUUUUUU